Mauremys mutica (yellowpond turtle) is the source of this 441-nucleotide long non-coding RNA. RefSeq lists it as uncharacterized. The record is from RefSeq and is a predicted model, not a curated record. The transcript is spliced from 3 exons. Lineage: Eukaryota; Metazoa; Chordata; Testudines; Geoemydidae.
CAUGCAAGCCAAUGAGAGAAGAGCCAAUGAGACAGGCAACCUGGAAAAGGGGAGGAGCUGCUCCAGGAGCUUCCAUGUGGUCUUUGUUGCUAUAGAAACCAUUUCUUUUGUCUGCAUGUGAAGCUGCUUUAUUUAUAAUCCGGCUCUCAGCUCCAGGAAAUAGAUGUUCGCUCCCAUUCUGGGCACUCAGACGUUGGCAAGGUCUCCUGAAUCUACUAUGUCUGAAAAGAAUAUUGAAAGGUUUAUAUCUUGAAUUUCACAGUGAUCUACAAACAGAAGGGUGGGUUAGUGCUGAAGAUCAGAGGAGCCAAGGAGACAAAGGGCCAGGACCAUCAACAUCCAGCACAUUCGAAUGCUACUUUUAAUGCUUAAUUUAGAAAGUGACAUAAGAGUCAGCAGUUCCAGUCCAGCCCAAGUCAGCAAGGCAGGAAAUUGUUACCA